CAGGUCCAACAGAACCGCCAUCCUUUUGUUUGCAUCAUCCCUCAGCGAUUUAGCUUCUCCCCCGUACUUGGUUGGUGAUGUGAUGGUGCUCUCUAGGUGCUUGUUGAAUUGCCUGUGACUUCUCAUAUUGCAGCCUACCCUGUAUGGUUAUCAUAUUUAGGUGUAAGCUAAAAUUGAAAUCGGAAUAUUAUCAUUAUCCAGAUGUUUAAAAUGCGUUAAAAAUAUUUUCCUAUUGAUAUCAAUGGUAACAGUAUUUUAGCUCAGGCCACUAAUUUAGUUGCUUGCCCAUUCAGCUUUCAGAUAAUGAUUUUUAUUAUUAUUUUACUCAGCCUUCAGUUUUCCAAUUGCUUCUGCCGUAAUUGUUUUUCAUUUGCUUUAGUUAGCUCUGACCCUACACUGAACCUUGGAACCUUUCUGCAACCUCUACUGCAACUACAAGAUACAUGUGAUGCCUCUAAGAAUGCUAAGAGUGGCUACAAAGAAUUUUAUAGUUUUCUUUUUUAUAUGUGCCACAAGCUCCAAAGUUCAUAUAUAUGUCAUUGUGGUCAAGUGUUUAGAAAAUUUUCUUGCAGAGUUUAGAAAUGGCUAACGAGAUUUGGGAGUAGAAAAAUGAAUGAUAAAAAAGAUAAUAAAUAAUCAGUGGUU
RNAcentral lists this long non-coding RNA (645 nucleotides) under Sorghum bicolor (sorghum). Its description in RNAcentral is "long non-coding RNA (SBIC_LNC008148)". The record is from RNAcentral. Lineage: Eukaryota; Viridiplantae; Streptophyta; Magnoliopsida; Poales; Poaceae.